RNAcentral lists this ribosomal RNA (526 nucleotides) under uncultured bacterium. Its description in RNAcentral is "partial 16S ribosomal RNA". It matches the Rfam family "Bacterial small subunit ribosomal RNA", at positions 355 to 898 of the family's 1533-position model. The record is from RNAcentral.
UGGGGAAUAUUGGACAAUGGGGGCAACCCUGAUCCAGCAAUGCCGCGUGUGUGAAGAAGGUCUUCGGAUUGUAAAGCACUUUCGACGGGGACGAUGAUGACGGUACCCGUAGAAGAAGCCCCGGCUAACUUCGUGCCAGCAGCCGCGGUAAUACGAAGGGGGCUAGCGUUGCUCGGAAUGACUGGGCGUAAAGGGCGUGUAGGCGGUUUACACAGUCAGAUGUGAAAUCCCCGGGCUUAACCUGGGAGCUGCAUUUGAUACGUGUAGACUAGAGUGUGAGAGAGGGUUGUGGAAUUCCCAGUGUAGAGGUGAAAUUCGUAGAUAUUGGGAAGAACACCGGUGGCGAAGGCGGCAACCUGGCUCAUGACUGACGCUGAGGCGCGAAAGCGUGGGGAGCAAACAGGAUUAGAUACCCUGGUAGUCCACGCUGUAAACGAUGUGUGCUAGAUGUUGGGUAACUUUGUUAUUCAGUGUCGCAGUUAACGCGUUAAGCACACCGCCUGGGGAGUACGGCCGCAAGGUUGAA